Molecule: transfer RNA, 17 nt
Filed under: Syntrichia ruralis
Lineage: Eukaryota; Viridiplantae; Streptophyta; Bryopsida; Pottiales; Pottiaceae
Description: partial tRNA-Met
Source: RNAcentral
CCUGCUUAACUCAGUGG